RNAcentral lists this long non-coding RNA (1096 nucleotides) under Phoenix dactylifera (date palm). Its description in RNAcentral is "long non-coding RNA (PDAC_LNC000256)". The record is from RNAcentral. Lineage: Eukaryota; Viridiplantae; Streptophyta; Magnoliopsida; Arecales; Arecaceae.
CUGGAAUAAGAAAACUUUCUUUCAUAGUUUCGUGGCAAUACGGUAUAUUUUGGAGCAUACAUAAGAAAUCCUCAUAGUUCAAACAAAAACAAAGAAAAGAAAAGAAGGUUCUCUAUGUUUUUUGUUAGCACAACACCAAGGCAUGAGAAAUCCCAAAACCCCUCUCUGUUGCAUUCGAAUACGCAAGCACCAGGCGUGCAGUUGUCUGCAGCCACCUUCAGCACCACCAUCUCAACUGCAAUAAUACAUCACAACUUGCAAGCGUUACAUUUAGAUGAACAUGAAAAGAAAGAAUAUAUAUGCAUGCAUAAACAUAGACAAAUCUUAUAUACAUAGAUACAUGCAACACAAUAUAAGAAUGCUACUAUAUAUUUUGUCUUAUCUUCAAAUUUUAAUGAAGCGUUUAUUAUAUUUUUCAGAAAUUUAUAUCAUAGUACUGUUGGAGACUUUCCACAAAACUAAUUUUGGUUCUCUUCCCUGCAUAAAAAUACCACACCAGAUGGAUAUAGUUGUUCCCACAUUCUUUUCAUCUCUAUUCUAAUUAACUUCUCUCAAACUUUUAUAUCUCCAUCUCUUUACAUUACCCUCGCUACGAGCCUUAUAUUUUUAUAAAUGUAUAUUCUUUAUCUCUAUUUCAAAAAUUUGAUAUUUAUUUUUAUUGUUCUCUAUUUAACAUAUUAAUACAAAUAUUUAAAACAAAUCUUCAUUAGAAUAAUAAGAAAUAAAGGAAUAAAAAUAAUGAAAAUAUAAGGGGGGAAAAGAGAGAGGCAGAGGGUAGCAACAUGAGAUCUAAAAUCUUGAUGAUAAUGUUUUCAAAAACAAGUUUAAUAGAAAACAAUAGAAUAAAGCUUUAGUAGAUCUCUUUUUCCCUCUCGUUAAAAAAAAUAGGGUUCCAAUUUCCAUAGAAUUUAACUAAAGUUUUUAUUAAAAAAUUAGAACCUAACCCAAGGUGUUAAAGGGUGUGAUCAUGAACAUAAAAUUGAAGAUGGUUCUACAAAGAGCUAUUCUACUGGUCUACAAGAGAAGUAUGUGAGAAGAGCUUAGCAAUUACCCCCGGCGACGACGAGGAGGACCAAGAGAAAAUAGGAGAGCCUGG